CCUACGGGGGGCAGCAGUGAGGAAUAUUGGUCAAUGGACGCAAGUCUGAACCAGCCAUGCCGCGUGCAGGAAGACGGCUCUAUGAGUUGUAAACUGCUUUUGUACGAGGGUAAACGCAGAUACGCGUAUCUGUCUGAAAGUAUCGUACGAAUAAGGAUCGGCUAACUCCGUGCCAGCAGUCGCGGUAAUACGGAGGAUUCAAGCGUUAUCCGGGUUUAUUGGGUUUAAAGGGUGCGUAGGCGGUCGGAUAAGUUAGAGGUGAAAUCCCGAGGCUCAACUUCGGAAUUGCGUCUGAUACUGUUCGUCUAGAGAGUAGUUGCGGUAGGCGGAAUGUAUGGUGUAGCGGUGAAAUGCUUAGAGAUCAUACAGAACACCGAUUGCGAAGGCAGCUUACCAAGCUACUUCUGACGUUGAGGCACGAAAGCGUGGGGAGCAAACAGGAUUAGAUACCCUAGUAGUC
This 460-nucleotide ribosomal RNA is filed under the name uncultured bacterium. Its description in RNAcentral is "partial 16S ribosomal RNA". It matches the Rfam family "Bacterial small subunit ribosomal RNA", at positions 338 to 795 of the family's 1533-position model. The record is from RNAcentral.